CCUACGGGGGGCAGCAGUGAGGAAUAUUGGUCAAUGGUCGGGAGACUGAACCAGCCAAGUAGCGUGCAGGAUGACGGCCCUACGGGUUGUAAACUGCUUUUAUACGGGAAUAACGCGCCUUACGUGUAGGGCUUUGCAUGUACCGUAUGAAUAAGGACCGGCUAAUUCCGUGCCAGCAGCCGCGGUAAGACGGAAGGGCCGGGCGUUAUCCGGACUUAUUGGGGUUAAGGGGAGCGUAGGCCGCAUGUCAAGCGUGCUGUGAAAUGUCCGGGCUCAACCCGGGCCUUGCAGCGCGAACUGGCGUGCUUGAGGCCGCGGAACGCAGGCGGAAUUCGUCGUGUAGCGGUGAAAUUCUUAGAUAUGACGAAGAACCCCGAUUGCGAAGGCAGCUUGCUGCAGCGGAACUGACGCUGAUGCUCGAAAGCGCGGGUAUCGAACAGGAUUAGAUACCCGUGUAGUC
Molecule: ribosomal RNA, 460 nt
Filed under: uncultured bacterium
Lineage: Bacteria
Description: partial 16S ribosomal RNA
Rfam family: Bacterial small subunit ribosomal RNA
Source: RNAcentral